This 243-nucleotide ribosomal RNA is filed under the name uncultured bacterium. Its description in RNAcentral is "partial 16S ribosomal RNA". It matches the Rfam family "Bacterial small subunit ribosomal RNA", at positions 335 to 571 of the family's 1533-position model. The record is from RNAcentral.
AUCCUACGGGGGGCAGCAGUAGGGAAUCUUCCACAAUGGACGAAAGUCUGAUGGAGCAACGCCGCGUGAGUGAAGAAGGGUUUCGGCUCGUAAAGCUCUGUUGGUAGUGAAGGAAGAUAGAGGUAGUAACUGGCCUUUAUUUGACGGUAAUUACUUAGAAAGUCACGGGUAACUACGUGCCAGCAGCCGCGGUAAUACGUAGGUGGCAAGCGUUGUCCGGAUUUAUUGGGCGGAAAGCGAGUG